Long non-coding RNA from Nematostella vectensis (starlet sea anemone), 467 nucleotides. RefSeq lists it as uncharacterized. The record is from RefSeq and is a predicted model, not a curated record. Lineage: Eukaryota; Metazoa; Cnidaria; Anthozoa; Actiniaria; Edwardsiidae. The transcript has 2 exons.
UAGGUUCAGUCGGUCCUGACUAAGCACCUCUUCCCGUCGUGCCUUUCGCUAUAAAUUUCACACUUAGCGGAAUAAACUGAGAAGCGGCGAUAUCGUAGCGUAGUUUGAGGGCUUCGCGCCCCUCUCAGAUAGCGUCCAAUGGAUUCUACUGACAGGCCUGGGGAAAGGGGGCAAGCAAACAGUUCAUAAGAAGCCUCAGAAAAGAAGACCUUAGUAGUAUUAUAUUUUAUUGUGCCCUCGCUUACUAAGUGCUGUAUCGUUCCGUGAUUGUUUGUUUCGCUUCUAUGGGCUUCUAUGUUUUAGCAUGCUGAUUUGUCGUUCGUAAUUCUUUAUAUUUUUCGGGGCUUAUGACUCGCAUAAGCCCUGGUUUUUCUGUAAGCCUUUCGCCUUGCCAUUUUUCCUGUAGUUAUUGUAUGUAGUCCAGUUGUAAUUAUGGCAAACAAAUAAAUUGAAUCCAGUGCAAUAAA